Molecule: ribosomal RNA, 793 nt
Filed under: Plasmodium malariae
Lineage: Eukaryota; Apicomplexa; Aconoidasida; Haemosporida; Plasmodiidae
Description: SSU rRNA
Rfam family: Eukaryotic small subunit ribosomal RNA
Source: RNAcentral
UUUGAGUAUGUAUUUGUUAAGCCUUAUAAGAGAAAAGUUUAUUAACUUAAGGAAUUAUAACAAAGAAGUAACACAUAAUAAAUUUCGAUUUAUUUAGUGUGUAUCAAUCGAGUUUCUGACCUAUCAGCUUUUGAUGUUAGGGUAUUGGCCUAACAUGGCUAUGACGGGUAACGGGGAAUUAGAGUUCGAUUCCGGAGAGGGAGCCUGAGAAAUAGCUACCACAUCUAAGGAAGGCAGCAGGCGCGUAAAUUACCCAAUUCUAAAGAAGAGAGGUAGUGACAAGAAAUAACAAUGCAAGGCCAAAUUUUGGUUUUGCAAUUGGAAUGAUGGGAAUUUAAAACCUUCCCAGAAGGCAAUUGGAGGGCAAGUCUGGUGCCAGCAGCCGCGGUAAUUCCAGCUCCAAUAGCGUAUAUUAAAAUUGUUGCAGUUAAAACGCUCGUAGUUGAAUUUCAAGGAAUCAAUAUUUUAAGUAAUGCUUUGUAUAUUUAUAACAAAGUUGUACAUUAAGAAUAAACGCCAAGCGUUAUAUUUUUUCUGUUACAUUUUGUUUUAUUAAUAUAUAUAUGCGUUCUUAUUAUAAAAAUGAUUCUUUUUAAAAUUCUUUUGUAUAAUUUUUUAUGCAUGGGAAUUUUGUUACUUUGAGUAAAUUAGAGUGUUCAAAGCAAACAGUUAAAACAGUUUCUGUGUUUGAAUACUACAGCAUGGAAUAACAAAAUUGAACAAGUCAAAAUUUUGUUCUUUUUUCUUAUUUUGGCUUAGUUACGAUUAAUAGGAGUAGCUUGGGGGCAUUUGU